RNAcentral lists this long non-coding RNA (371 nucleotides) under Mytilus galloprovincialis (Mediterranean mussel). Lineage: Eukaryota; Metazoa; Mollusca; Bivalvia; Mytilida; Mytilidae. The record is from RNAcentral.
CUUGCUUACUAUUUUGGACAAAGAAAGAUAACUCUAAUUAAAAAAAAAAUUGCUAUUUCACAAUAUUGUGAAAUUGGAUAUUUCUUGCCAUUGCACAAUACUGUGCAAUUGAAAAGACUUGCUAUUGCACAAUACUUAAUAUAAUAAUUUUAGAUCCUGAUUUGGACCAACUUGAAAACUGGGCCCAUAAUCAAAAAUCUAAGUACAUGUUUAGAUUCAGCAUAUCAAAGAGGCCCAAGAAUUUAAUUUUUGUUAAAAUCAAACUUAGUUUAAUUUUGGACCCUUUGGACCUUAAUGUAGGCCAAUUUGAAAACGGGACCAAAAAUGAAGAAUCUACAUACACAGUUAGAUUUGGCAUAUCAAAGAACCCC